GAUGAAGAACGUAGCGAAAUGCGAUACUUGGUGUGAAUUGCAGAAUCCCGUGAACCAUCGAGUCUUUGAACGCAAGUUGCGCCCGAAGCCACUAGGCCGAGGGCACGCCUGCCUGGGCGUCACACGCCGUUGCCCCCCCAUCUACUCCUUCGGGAUUGCGGGGGGCGGAUGAUGGCCUCCCGUGCGCCUAGCCGCGCGGUUGGCAUAAAUACCAAGUCCUCGGCGACGCACGCCACGACAAUCGGUGGUUGCGAAACCUCGGUUGCCCGUCGUGUGCGUUCGUCGCGCANNNNNGGCUCGAAAAAAUGCUCGGCUCCGGCUGGGCUUUCAACGCGACCCCAGGUCAGGCGGGGUUACCCGCUGAAUUUAAGCAUAUCAAUAAGCGGAGGA
Molecule: unclassified non-coding RNA, 390 nt
Filed under: soil metagenome
Description: partial contains 5.8S ribosomal RNA, internal transcribed spacer 2, and large subunit ribosomal RNA
Rfam family: 5.8S ribosomal RNA (bases 1-122)
Source: RNAcentral